GAUGAAGAACGUAGCGAAAUGCGAUACUUGGUGUCAAUUGCAGAAUCCCGUGAACCAUUGAGUUUUUGAACGCAAGUUGCGCCCGAAGCCGUUAGGCCGAGGGCACGCCUGCCUGGGUGUCACACAUCGUUGCCCCAAUGCCAAUCGCCUCACUUUGUAGGUAUUUGCUUGGGGUGAAUGUUGGCCUCCCGUGAGCUUUGUCUCACGGUUGGUUGAAAAUCGAGUGCAUGGUGUCGGGUGUACCAUGAUGGAUGGUGGUUGAGUGAUGAUGCUCGGGACCAAUCAUGGGUAACUCCACCAGAAUUGGGCUCGGUGACCCACAUGCGUCCCUUGGAUGCUCCCUAAGGAGACCUCAGGUCAGGCGGGGCUACCCGCUGAGUUUAAGCAUAUCAAUAAGCGGAGGA
This 404-nucleotide unclassified non-coding RNA is filed under the name soil metagenome. Its description in RNAcentral is "partial contains 5.8S ribosomal RNA, internal transcribed spacer 2, and large subunit ribosomal RNA". The stretch from base 1 to 122 matches the Rfam family "5.8S ribosomal RNA", at positions 35 to 154 of the family's 154-position model. The record is from RNAcentral.